GGACGAACGCUGGCGGCGUGCUUAACACAUGCAAGUCGAGCGGUAAGGCCCUUUCGGGGGUACACGAGCGGCGAACGGGUGAGUAACACGUGGGUGACCUGCCCUCAGCUCUGGGAUAAGCCUGGGAAACCGGGUCUAAUACCGGAUAUGACUCCAUGACGCAUGUUGUGGGGUGGAAAGCCUUGUGCGGCUGAGGAUGGGCCCGCGGCCUAUCAGCUUGUUGGUGGGGUGAUGGCCUACCAAGGCGACGACGGGUAGCCGGCCUGAGAGGGCGACGGCCACACUGGGACUGAGACACGGCCCAGACUCCUACGGGAGGCAGCAGUGGGGAAUCUUGCGCAAUGGGCGAAAGCCUGGCGCAGCGACGCCGCGUG
This 374-nucleotide ribosomal RNA is filed under the name uncultured bacterium. RNAcentral's name for it is "bacterial SSU rRNA". It matches the Rfam family "Bacterial small subunit ribosomal RNA", at positions 27 to 403 of the family's 1533-position model. The record is from RNAcentral.